UACGUAGGAGGCGAGCGUUGUCCGGAUUUACUGGGCGUAAAGCGCGCGCAGGCGGCCCACUAAGUCCGAUGUGAAAUCUCCCUGCUCAACGGGGAGGGUGCAUAGUAAACUGGUGAGCUAGAGGACGGUAGAGGGGGGUGGAAUUGCUGGUGUAGCGGUGAAAUGCGUAGAGAUCAGCAGGAACACCCGUGGCGAAGGCGGCCCCCUGGGCCGAACCUGACGCUGAGGCGCGAAGGCUAGGGGAGCGAACGGG
Molecule: ribosomal RNA, 253 nt
Filed under: uncultured bacterium
Lineage: Bacteria
Description: partial 16S ribosomal RNA
Rfam family: Bacterial small subunit ribosomal RNA
Source: RNAcentral